Hippocampus comes (tiger tail seahorse) is the source of this 5474-nucleotide RNA transcript. It is a transcript of the gene named MYC-associated zinc finger protein b (purine-binding transcription factor), with no coding region annotated. The transcript has 8 exons. The record is from RefSeq and is a predicted model, not a curated record. Lineage: Eukaryota; Metazoa; Chordata; Actinopteri; Syngnathiformes; Syngnathidae.
GGUGUUUCUUUAGCCUGUGAGGGCAAUUAAAAAGCAGGGAUAUCCCCAGUGGAAUGCAACAAGCUGAAAACAACUAAAUGGAUAAACACGAGUGUCUGUGUUAUCAUUUUUCAGAGGUAUUUAUUAAACUGUCAUGGUUUAUCAUUGUGGCUAUGUUGUGCACUGGUACUUGUAAAAUGGUGACCAACGUAAUUUGCUGCACAGAAGCAGGGACGUGUUUUAAAAACAAAAUGCAGUGACAAUAAUACUGAGACAUGUGAAUACCUCCUUUAAAGUUAUUUACUGUUUUGGUUAUAUUGUGCACACUGAUAUAAUCACACUGUGGUGCGUUGAGGUCCUUCUAAAAUGGCGGUUAGAAGCGAAAUUGAAAUUUGAAAUGCCUCUCAUAUCGACUUUUGGAGUGGAAUUACAGAACACCUCAUCAGAUUGACCUCGAGUGUACCAAAUGUUUUGUCGUUUAUUCCACCGGUCAGCCUUCCUUCACGACUGUGUAAAUGUGAUGAACGUCUGAAAACAAAUCGCUUUCUCGUUGCGGAGUUGGAAAUGAUCGAAAUACGACAUAGCUCCGCGCCUUUUCUCCUCCAUUGUGCUAUAUCCGACUCUGACAUCAUUAUUGCAGGCCGACGGGGAGGAUCGUUGCGCACCGCCCUUUAAGACGGGUCCGAGGCUCGGUCGUUGAAGAAAAAAAAAGUCGUGGCCGCGGUGCUGGUUCCGAGACGAGGGGGGAAAACGUCUGAGUCCGACCCACGGUCCCAUCCAGCUGGCACGGAGGCGAAAAACAAAUCGUGAGUGUUUUUCGUGAGAGCCGACACGCCCGGGCAAAGAGGAAGGAAGGGUGGGGGAGGAGGACCGCGAGGACGGGGGAGGACCGACCGGACUCGAGGCCGCGAGAGACGGAAGUGAGAGAGGGGGGUUGCUCCGAAGAGGAAGCCCUAUCCCUUUAAAAAGCGAGUGGGACAUAGCGGUGCGAGGAAAGGAGAGGAGGGGGAGAAGAACGAGGAAUUAAAAAAGAAAAAGAAGAAAGACACUGGGAGGGCGGAGGGAGAGCGGGCGAUAAAAAAAGAAAGAUGACAUCCUCGCGGCUGAGCGGCCGAGGUGGGGCGACGGGCCGCGGCCCGGUGAGAGCGCCACUCGCCCGGGCCACGGCUUGACUCCAACAACGAGGCUUCGGCAAACAUCCGAGUGGCCUAACGGACGGGCUCGGAAAACAGAUUGACUCAUUAAAACAAAGCAUGAUUUGACGGCUGACAGAUACGUGUUUUAUAACCCUUAAUCGCUCUCCCGUGUUACAAAAAAUAUAUCUCUAUACUUUUACUUCACGUGUAUGUACAGUAGUGUAAAAUUACGACGUGAGGUUAUGGAGGCAGUCGAAUUGGUGUGAUUCUUUCUUUCUUUUUUUUUUUUUUUUUUUUUUUUUUACCGUGGCCUGAUUGUCGUUGAAUUAAUCCAAGUAAAAGAUUCGCGUCAGAAGCGAGAGAGGGAUCUUGGUGAUUCCCGGCCUGCAUGCGUUCACCGCUGCGCCCAUUUGGUUUCUCUGCAUCAUGCCGCCCCCGUGACAUCACCACUUUCUUUCUUCAGUUUUUUUUGUUUGUUUAAACCCACCGUUUUUUUUCUUUUUCAACGUUGGAGGUGACGGCUCAAGUAUUUCUUUUACCCCCGGAGCCGACCUAAACCAUGCGAAAGCUGCCCUCUUUGAUCUCAACUAGCAGCUGAUUUUAUAAUCUCCAUCUCAGUGACACAAAAUGGAUGCUGCGUGGAGCAAUUUCCUCUUCCAGGUAGGCUUGAAUGCUCCCACCCAAAACCAAGUGGAGGGGAGCCUCCAAUCGGAGCUCAUGUCAGUCCAUACAAGCUCCCCCCAAACCCCACCCACUGAGCACAUAGCUCAGCCUCCCUCCACGGUGGACACCACAGCUCUCAAAGAGGAGCCCAUGCCCAUCGAGGUCCAUGGAGCUGAUCCACACCCUGCUGCUACUUCAUUAGUGAAGCCCAUGUCUCGGCCAGCCCGUGUGCCGCACAUCUGUGCCAUUUGCAACAAGCAGUUCAAGAACAACUACAACCUUCGGCGGCACCAGUCGGUCCACACAGGGCGGCCCGCCAAUCAAAACCCCACGCCGGUGAGAAAGAACCACGCAUGCGAGACGUGCGGGAAAGCCUUCCGCGACGUUUACCACCUCAACCGCCACCGCCUGUCCCACUCGGACGAGAAGCCCUUCUCCUGUCCCAUCUGCCAGCAGCGCUUCAAGAGGAAGGACCGGAUGAGUCACCAUGUGCGCUCCCACCAGGGCGGCGUGGAGAAGCCUUACAUCUGCCCCCACUGCAGCAAGGCCUUCUCAAGGCCCGACCAUCUCAACAGUCACGUGCGACAGGUGCACUCCUCAGAGCGGCCCUUCAAAUGCCCGACAUGCGAGUCCAGCUUUGCCACGAAGGACCGUUUGCGUGCGCACAUGAUUCGCCACGAGGAAAAGGUCCCGUGCCACAUCUGUGGCAAGCUCCUGUCGGCCGCCUACAUCACAGAUCACAUGAGGGUGCACAACCAGUCACAGCACCACGUCUGCCAUCUGUGCAACCGCAGCUUCACCACACUGACCUACCUUCGCGUCCACGCCCAGAAGCACCACGGCCAGGAAUGGAAGGACAGCCCAGGAGGCUUUGGUGGCACGGCGUCCGGCGGCGUGCUCGUCUGCCAUCUCUGCGGCGUCCACUGCAAGACUCCCACCCAGCUCCAGGGCCACAUGGGCACCCACAGCAGCAGCCAGGGCGCCCAGAGCACCGCCACCUCGAACGUGGCCGCCACAAGCUCCAUUUCCCUCAGCAACAUGGUGACGGCGCCCACCGUGUACGUCACGGGCGGCACGGUGGUGGACCUCCUGGUCACGGACUGCUCGAGCAUUGCGGCGCCGCAGUCGCAGAGUUAGCGAUAGCCAGGUCAGCAGCAACAGCAAUAACCUCGGUCCUUGAAAUCAAAAGAGGGCAAGGUAAGAGAAGAAGAUGCGUCGAUGCUAAUCAGUUUACAGUUGCUGGUCAAAGUUGGAGGGUCACAACCGCGUUACAUUUCGACACAUUUGCAUUUCAACAAGCUUGGAUACGUCAUCCUCAUAAUCUGAAACGGUGGCGGGUCGUGCAUUUUGGUAGCUGGGCCUUCAGCAGGGAGGUAAUACCACCACAAUUGCUCUGCGAUGUUAAAAAUGAUCGAUGCGAUACAAAAUGCAAUAAAACCGCAAUCAAUACUUAUCAAAUAACACGAUGAUCUAAAAAAAAAUGAAAUGAAAUAAAAUAAUCACCAGAGAUGCUGAUUAUUACAUGUAUUCAUGUGUGUGACUACAGUCGCUGGAUUAACUUUCUCCGACCAAACAGUCAGAGGACAGAAAAAUACUGACAUUAUCGAGGCCCCCCGAGGCAAAUUUGAAAUCUAGUUAGUUAAAAAAAAAAAACAGUCCCAUCGUUGUUAAACCAGUUACACGAGGCAGCACUACUGCUUCUAACGGCUCUGGGCGAAUUCGAUUUACAUGGUAACACACAGAGGCUAAAAUCUGAUUGGACAAAAAAACAAUCUAACAUCCACACACUGCCUUGAAGCAAUGCAGCCCAGGUCAACACUAAAAAUGAGAAGAAUAGACUUGAGAAGAAAUGCACACUAUUUCAUGGAGAGAAUGCUAAUGCUGUUAAUGUAGGUCAGUGCUUUUGUUGCAUUUAAGACAGCAGAGAAGGCCUUGCUGCCCCACCACUGAUCCAGGAUGCUCGUAUCCAACUAAACUGAUGACAACUGUGCUCUUCUGGGUGUCUGUUGUAAUUAGAAGUCUCUCUCUCUCUCUCUCUCUCUCUGUUUAACUCACACCAGCGCUGAUCUUAACCUAUCUUUUUUUUUUUUUUGCAGCUCACUGACUAAAAAUAUUUAGUGCUUGUGUUAAGAAUGAGAAAUUGCGCUCUCAAAAAAAAAAAAAAAACUAAAUGAGAAGGGAAGUUGUUUGGGUGUGGACAAGGCAGGGCGUCUUUAGCAUGUUAUCUUGUUUGUUCACUGACUUUUAAUACGAGUUGUAUGAAUUUUAUACAAAGUGGUUACCUUUAGUAAUUAGCGGUUUCUAGAUCAGGAUGUGGAUAUGGCAUGGUAGCAAGUACUUCUUGAUAAAAGGUACAGAGGUCGCCAAGGAGGUUUAAGCACCUUGAAGGCCCUUUCACACUGCACUUAGCACUACAAAGAACGCAGUUAACGAGCCCAUUCAUUGUGUAAGUGCUGCCUUAUGGAGACUGGCAACCACAAUGAGUAGAUUUUUUUUUUUUCUUUUCCAUUGACCGUGCACUCUGACGACAUGGGUUGAUUUCAGAAUGCAAAUAGCAAGAAAUUUUGGUGCAGUUGAACAGUGGAAAGGAAGGAGAAAGCGGUGUCCCGGUGGCUCUGGGACACGAGGCAGAUGACGCGCUGAAAAAGAAACUGCUCCCUGUGCCGCUUGAAGUAAACCUCGAGACGUUCUUCAUUGAGCUGUAGCUCACAGCCUACUGAACAUCCAAACGAGUGGCUAAAGGCACCGGGCUACUUCUCUGUCGUGGGCCAAUGAAGUGCAGUGUGUAAGUGCCUUAUUGCUGUCCAGUGGAACUUCCAAAGGUUAAUGCCCCCUGAAGUGGGACCAUUUGUGAAGUUCAGCCGAAAUCCAAGUCAAACAAAACUUAUCGUGACGUUUGUGACUGUCAAGAAAUGGUGUCUCAAUGUUGGGAAUGUUGACAGUCAUGAAAUUUAUUUCUCACCGGGAAACAUGUUUUGAAACAAGAACAACUUGGAAGUCAACUAACAUUGGAGGUUCCACUGUCAUUGUUUGGUUUGUCGAGAUGAAAAUAGGCUUGGAAUGAGUUUUCUUGCGCUAAAGUUUUCUUCUCUGGAUCGCGCCGAGGGGGGGAAAAGAUGAAUCGACACUUCUGCUUUUAACACUGCGACUCUUGCACCUGGACGAUUUAAACAAACAAUAAAACAACUUUUGCAUGAAAGCAAUCCCAACUCGGCUUAUCAGCACAAAAUGAACUUUGGGGUUGUUUCACUAAGGUUUUAAACGAUAAUACCAGAUGUUUUUUUGUUUAGUUCUUUUUUUUUUUUUAACUUUUUUGAAAAAUUGAUUUUGUUGGCCAUUUGUUUGAUUGUAACCGUUAUUGCCAUAGUUUUUUUCCCCGUUUGUUUUGUCUACCUGCCUCUCCAAUGAGUAAACGUAAGACAUUAGAUUUAGUGUGUAUAGCACCUAACAUAUUUAUCUUUAUCAUGUGACAUGGCUCUCACUGGUUGCAUCUAUUUUUAAUGUGCUAUAAAAAGGACUUGAAAUGAGUGCCACAGCAAGUUGACAAACUUUUUCAGUUUUGAGCGAAUAUUUCCUUGACCUUUAAAGCGACGUUUCUUUACUGUAGUGUUUAAAAUGUGUUCUUCCUUCCUCCCUGGUGAGAAAACUUGUCAUUCACUAUACAAUAAUAUUACUUUACUUCCAUUUACACUAAGA